CACAGCUGUCCGUGAACCACCUACUGUAACAGCUGGCUAGACACCACAGCCCUGCGGCCCUGCAGCCCAGCCACGUCUUUUUAGCUUCACCUCGACGGCCUUGCUCUUGACCUGAAAUCACCAUCACCUUAAUGGGCUAGAAAAGGUUUCCCCACUGCGAGCCCUUCGAGAACAAUGUCAUGUUGAUCGAUGGCAGUGACUCACACCAGAUCUUUCCAUGCCUCCUCUGCAAGGACUCAAGAGAGUCGAGAGCAAAACCGUGCCAUAGUUCCAUAAGGAGGGCAAAGAGCUUUAUCCACGCUGAGGAACAGGCGGAUCAUGCGGCUACAGCACUGGUCUUUACCUUUUAACUGCUUGAUUCGAAACAUUCCAGCCAGGAACAGUGGCUCACACCUGUAAUCCCAGCACUUUGUGGGGCCAAGGCAGGUGGAUUGCUCGAGCUCAGGAGUUCGAAACCAGCCUGGGCAACCUGGCAAAACCUCAUCUCUACAAAAAAAUACAAAAAUUAGCCAGGCCUGGUGUGUGUGCCUGUGGUUCCAGCCACUCGGCAGGCUGCGGCCAGAGGAUCACUUGAGCCCAGGAAGUGGAGGCUGCAGUGAGCUGAGAUCGUGCCGCCACACUCCAGCCUGGGUGACAGAGCCAGACAUUGUCUCUAAAAAAAAAAAAAAAAGAAAAGA
Molecule: long non-coding RNA, 677 nt
Filed under: Homo sapiens (human)
Lineage: Eukaryota; Metazoa; Chordata; Mammalia; Primates; Hominidae
Description: non-protein coding LINC01714:28
Source: RNAcentral